This 339-nucleotide unclassified non-coding RNA is filed under the name soil metagenome. Its description in RNAcentral is "partial contains 5.8S ribosomal RNA, internal transcribed spacer 2, and large subunit ribosomal RNA". The stretch from base 1 to 120 matches the Rfam family "5.8S ribosomal RNA", at positions 35 to 154 of the family's 154-position model. The record is from RNAcentral.
GAUGAAGAACGCAGCGAAAUGCGAUACGUAGUGUGAAUUGCAGAAUUCAGUGAAUCAUCGAAUCUUUGAACGCACAUUGCACCUCUCGGUAUUCCGGGAGGUAUGCCUGUUCGAGCGUCAUUUGUACCCUCAAGCUCUGCUUGGUGUUGGGUGUUUGUUCCGCCUCUGUGUGUGAGCUCGCCUCAAAACAAUUGGCAGCCGGCGUACUUGUUUCGGAGCGCAGCACAUUUUGCGAUCCAGAUCAACGUACAGCGGCAUCCAAGAAGCCUUAUUUAACGCUCUUGACCUCGGAUCAGGUAGGGAUACCCGCUGAACUUAAGCAUAUCAAUAAGCGGAGGA